Molecule: small nuclear RNA, 344 nt
Filed under: Chinchilla lanigera (long-tailed chinchilla)
Lineage: Eukaryota; Metazoa; Chordata; Mammalia; Rodentia; Chinchillidae
Description: 7SK RNA (ENSCLAG00000021741.1)
Rfam family: 7SK RNA
About the family: 7SK was discovered as an abundant small nuclear RNA in the mid-70s but a possible function has only recently been suggested.
Source: Rfam by way of RNAcentral
GGAUGUGAGGGCAAUAUGACUGCGAUAUGUGUCACCCCAUUGAUCACCAGGGUUGAUUUAGCUGAUCUGGCUGGCUAGGUGGGUGUCCCCUUCCCCCCUCAUGGGAGCUGCACCUGUGUACCUGGAGUCCCUCACAGAGCUGAACACUCGCUCGUUUGAAGAGGAUGACCACCCCUGUAGAGGAGGACCAUUUCCUUGGGCAAGGAUAUACAAGUGGCUGUGCUCCCUGCUAGAACCUCCAAACAAGCUCUCAAGCUACUUCUUUUCCCUCUUUCAGCAGGUGAGAAGACAUGAAUGUUUCUGUGCAGAUGUCUGCAUACCAGCUGUUGGCAAUGGUGCUGCUG